This is a long non-coding RNA of Canis lupus familiaris (dog), 3595 nucleotides long. RefSeq lists it as uncharacterized. The record is from RefSeq and is a predicted model, not a curated record. NCBI's taxonomy places the organism in Eukaryota, Metazoa, Chordata, Mammalia, Carnivora, Canidae. The transcript is spliced from 2 exons.
AGAUUCAGAUGGUGGCAGGACCUGCAGAAGCAGCGAGGGUGACAGCUUUGAGUAGUGGCCUCAUGACGGCCUACCUGAAUAUGUGUUCGGUUACUCACCCACUCGUUCAGUGGCGUGCCCGUGAGUUCCCUCGCCACAUGAAGGCACUGCGUUUGGCCUCUGAAGAACAGAGACGUAAUCGUUGUUUGGGGAGUUCUGGGCAUUUACUAGAGAGUAAUGUUUCUGUUUAACUGAAUCAGAUAGAAUGUUCAGGGAGUAAGGCUGUGCUCGCCAGUCUCCGUACUCCGCUCUGAAGCCGUCCUUUUCAUCUGGGCUUUGUUGUGGUUUUCAUCCUCGAUGAUAAUUACGGAUCUUGAAUUCAGCAGCGGAAACCCAGGGAAGAAGCAGACGCUAACGCACAACUGCUAUUUCUGCAACAUUUUUGUUUUCUGCCCACAUGCAUGCCUAGUGAAACUCUGGCCUCUGGUCAGGGUGAAGAGGCAUUUAUUUGUGUGCGAGGGGAAGGAGGGUGCGUUCAAAUGUUAAACCCCUGAAGUCUGUGUAAUUAUCUAGAGAAAAACUUGGUUUUAUGUCCUAGGGUAGAGCUGGAAGUCUGACCUCUAAAAUGUGAAGCAUUUUCUGUCUUCACUCCUCUCCCAUCAUCAGGCAGAGGGACCUCAGCAGGGUCUCCAGCUUUGAUGCUCGAUUUAUGUAGACACCCCUGUGUACUGAGCUCCUACUGUGUGCCACAUAUUAUUAGACUAGGGUUUUUCAGACCUUAUUCCACUAUCACCUUACAAACUUCUUAUGAACUCUGAAGAAGAAAGUGAAGAUCAGAGGGAUUAUGGAAAGCUGACCAGAAGAAUGGAAGAAUUUGGAACAAAAGGGAUAAAUCCACCCGCAAGCCUGCCACCUCAACUCAAGUCUCGCCCGCGGGGAAUGCUGCCCCCAGCCCUCCGCCGCCACAUCCAAGGCCCUAGCUGGCUGCCGCCCCGGUGUGCGCACACUUCCACAUCCUCCCUUUCCUUCUGGGGACGGGCAUCUUUCUCUUCUGCUGCCCACCUGGAGCCUAGCAGUUUAAUAACUGCUGAACAGUCUCCUGCAGGAAUGUAUCUCCACUGUGGAAAGGUAACGAGCAAAGCAAUUUGGUUUCAAGUUGGAAGGCCAUGAGCAUUCGUCCCUGUGACUAGAUUUUGGGUGAUGAGCCCCCCUUCCUGAACCCUGUCCUUCUGAAGAAUUCGUUUGGGGGUCCCGAGGAAUUUGUUUCUUACAUCUGGGAAUUCAAUUCAGGGACUUGAUCUUGGGUUUUGGUUUGGCGAGCAGGAAAGGAGAAAUAGAAAAGGCAUUGUUACCGCCGGUGCCGUCUCCACUGGUGAUGUCUCCUCCUUGAAUCAUGAAAUCUUUGAUGACACGAUGAAAUCUGCUUCCCUUAUAGCUGUAUCCUUUCUAAAGAGAUUAUGGCAAUUGAAUAUAUGAGUAGAGAGAACCCAUACUGCAAGAUGAACCCCAGUAUUAAUCUGGACGUGACAAAUGAGAAAAUGACACGGACUAGCUACAGAAUUAGUAAAUCCUCUGCAAGGAUUUACUGGUAGAAAUGCAUCACUGACGGACCCCAAAUAAAGAAAGAAGUCAACCACGGAAGUAGAGCAGUACUUCCAUGUGAAUGGAAGUGAAAUGAGAGCAAUCUGUAUUUUCACAUGCUGUUGGUUCCUCUCAAUUUCUAGAACCCCAAGGACACUGAGCGACCAAAGAGCGAAAUUUUGUAGGAAAAUAAAAUAUUGUAAGAUGUCUCGGGCUCAUCGGACCUGCUAAAUCAACACUUAUUUUCCCAGAAGACAUCUUUCCAUGGGGCUUACACAAAGGAAGACUCCCUUUUGUGCUAAGGGAUCGAAAACUGAGACAUACCUCCCCUGUUGCCAGAGCGACAAAAUUUUCCACGGUCUUAGGCACAACCUUUCCAAAGAGGCCAAUCACAAUUCUGCCAACAUCUUUGUCUCCGAUCCUCACAUCGAAGAAGACCUGCGAGUGGGUGAAUGGCAGAGCAGAGGGUUACGGCGGGGAGCGCCACGACCACAGGGGAAGUGAAAGGUAAAAUCUGAGAAUGCAUUCGGGGUGAAAGCCCUGUGCACCCGCCCCAGCAGCUUAUAAAGGAGCUCGAAAUCCAUCAUGUGGGUGCUUUCCACCUGUAAAAAUGCUCGUUCCACAAACAUAUAGUUGGCACCUCCUCUGGGCCAGGCACCAGGUUUGAAGUUUGACCCGGCAUGGCAUGCCAGAAGCAGCCAGUGAGGCCUCUGCAAACUCCAGGACCCCCGGCACGGCCCCCUGGGGCGCUGCGGCUACCUCCUGGUUGCCAGCUUUGUGCUCCUCUGAAAGGUGAUGCUCUGGAUCCUGGCGGCAGAGAACCACUGCUGAGGCAAGAAGUACUUUCACCAUCCAGAUUUUUUUUUUGGGGGGGGGGGAGGACUUCAAACAGUGUCCAGUUCCCAGGGCACUCUCCGUAGACCUCUGCUGUCAAGGGAACUCAAGACAUCAAGAGGCACAGCGAGUCCUCCGAAAGGCCUGCCCCUCACUUCGGAGCCCUGGAAGGCACCAGGUCCCCAGCCUGGUGCAGACCACCGACAAAGCCAUUUACCCUGCAACCUCAGAAGCCCCACUCAGCCCUCAUGCUCCCCAAAGUCAUACGGGGAUACUGUGUUAUUCUCCCUGCGGCACAUUUUAGAAUAGAUGAAAGAAGACACGUACCCAGAAGUGAGUGGGGGUCACUUUUUGUGCAGAUGAACCUCACAAGUUUGCUUGAACUAUUUUUUUCAAAAAACUGUUUCAUCCAAAACGAAAUUUAUCUACGUCUUGCUUCACCAAUCACCAUGUUAGGAUGAGUAGAAUGCUUGAAAAGGCUACGGAGUCGAAGGGCAUUCUUUAGCGAGUUUAGAUUAUAGGAACCAAUUUACUAUUUGAAAGGGGGGGAAAAAGACAUUCAAGAGAUGACUUUAAAAAAUAUAAGAAGGGUUGUCAAAGAAAAAAGAUGUCUUACAGUUGAGAAAAAUCAUGAAGUAAAGACUGUCAAGCUUUAGUUCAAGACAAGAGCUUCUGCCAAUACAUCAGCACGUCUGUCAUGGGGUGAUGUGAUAUUUAGUGUUCCAUGUGGCAUUUUAGAAUUUUCACAUGGCCACAGCAACCAAAAUUGGAUUAUUAUUUAUACGGCAGAACUUUACAGAAUGCAUAGAAGACUGUGCCCUUGAGAUGAGCAGGGUGCUUGAGAAGAACAACAGCAUGGCUCGGGGACAGGAAGCAGCAGGAACAAACCAGGAGCCUGGUGGCGCAGAGCUGGUGUCACAGAGAAGCAGUUUCUCCAAAGGGAUUCCCAAGCCAAGGAGUGAAUUCAGUAACAGGCAAAAGGGAAGCAGCACCAGGAGAAGAAUCAAGGACAGAAUCUUAAAGGAACACCAUGCAAGACACUAGAAAAGCCUGCCAGACUUUGAAAAUACAGAUGAGAAAAUAAAGCCGGUGUGUGUUUAGACAGCAAGGAGCAUGUAAAGCGUGGGAGAGUAGCAGGAGAAGAGGAAGAAAAGGAGCCUGUUAUCCCACAAAACUCUUCAAUAAAAAUCUGCCUGGCUGA